GACUGUUUAUCAAAAACACAGGGCUCUGCGAAGCCGCAAGGCGACGUAUAGGGUCUGACUCCUGCCCAGUGCCGGAAGGUUAAGAGGAGAGGUGCAAGCCUUGAAUCGAAGCCCCGGUGAACGGCGGCCGUAACUAUAACGGUCCUAAGGUAGCGAAAUUCCUUGUCGGGUAAGUUCCGACCUGCACGAAUGGAGUAACGACUUCCCCGCUGUCUCCACAAUAGACUCAGUGAAAUUGAAUUCUCCGUGAAGAUGCGGAGUUCGCGCGGCUAGACGGAAAGACCCUGUGAACCUUUACUGCAGCUUUGCUGUGGCGUUAUCGACGAUUUGUGUAGGCUAGGUGGGAGGCUUUGAAGCGGAGGCGUCAGCUUUCGUGGAGCCGCAAGAUGAAACACCACCCUGAUUUUCGGUGACGUCUAACCGCGAUCCAUCAUCUGGAUCCGGGACCCAGCAUGGCGGGCAGUUUGACUGGGGCGGUCGCCUCCCAAAGAGUAACGGAGGCGCGCG
RNAcentral lists this ribosomal RNA (507 nucleotides) under uncultured bacterium. Its description in RNAcentral is "bacterial LSU rRNA". It matches the Rfam family "Bacterial large subunit ribosomal RNA", at positions 1798 to 2312 of the family's 2925-position model. The record is from RNAcentral.